This 509-nucleotide long non-coding RNA is filed under the name Monodelphis domestica (gray short-tailed opossum). Its description in RNAcentral is "lncRNA (ENSMODG00000044054.1)". Lineage: Eukaryota; Metazoa; Chordata; Mammalia; Didelphimorphia; Didelphidae. The record is from RNAcentral.
AGGAGAGGCAAAGCCAGGCAAUUAUCGCUUAUCUGUUUCAUAAACCUCUCCCCCCCUUUAAUUUUUUAAAAGGAUGUUAAAGUGCUUUCUGGGGGCCAGUGAGAAAGAAAGAAAGAAAGAAAGAAAGAAAGAAAGAAAGAAAGAAAGAAAGAAAGAAAGAAAGAAAGAAAGAAAGAAAGAAAGAAAGAAAGAAAGAAAGAAAGAGAGAGAGAGAGAAAGAAAGAGAGAAUCUUUCUUCUGUUUGAUUGAAAGAAAGAAAGAAAGAAAGAAAGAGAAAGAAAGAAAGACUCAUCUUUUUGAGUUCAAAUCUGGUCUCAGACAUUUGUUAUCAUGGGUGUUUUGUACUGAUGGAAUUUCAGGCACUGUGACAAGGAGACUUGGAGGGAUAUCUAUCUAUCUAUCUAUCUAUCUAUCUAUCUAUCUAUCCAUCCAUCUAUCUAUCUAUCUAUCUAUCUAUCUAUCCAGCCAAUGAGCAAUUCCACUGGGUUUUACAUGUGUCAUUGAUCAAG